This 526-nucleotide ribosomal RNA is filed under the name uncultured bacterium. RNAcentral describes it as "bacterial SSU rRNA". It matches the Rfam family "Bacterial small subunit ribosomal RNA", at positions 9 to 526 of the family's 1533-position model. The record is from RNAcentral.
GAGUUUGAUCCUGGCUCAGGAUGAACGCUAGCGGCAGGCCUAACACAUGCAAGUCGAACGGUAACAGAGAAGAGCUUGCUCUUUUGCUGACGAGUGGCGCACGGGUGCGUAACGCGUAUACAAUCUACCUUUUACAGGGGUAUAGCCUUUAGAAAUGAAGAUUAACACCCCAUAGUAAGUAUUUAUGGCAUCAUAGAAACUUUAAAACUUCGGUGGUAAAAGAUGAGUAUGCGUUCUAUUAGCUAGAUGGUGUGGUAACGGCACACCAUGGCAACGAUAGAUAGGGGCCCUGAGAGGGGGAUCCCCCACACUGGUACUGAGACACGGACCAGACUCCUACGGGAGGCAGCAGUGAGGAAUAUUGGACAAUGGGCGAGAGCCUGAUCCAGCCAUGCCGCGUGCAGGAAGACUGCCCUAUGGGUUGUAAACUGCUUUUAUAUGGGAAGAAACCACAGAACGUGUUCUGUGCUGACGGUACCAUAAGAAUAAGGAUCCGCUAACUCCGUGCCAGCAGCCGCGGUAAUAC